RNAcentral lists this ribosomal RNA (463 nucleotides) under uncultured bacterium. Its description in RNAcentral is "partial 16S ribosomal RNA". It matches the Rfam family "Bacterial small subunit ribosomal RNA", at positions 28 to 507 of the family's 1533-position model. The record is from RNAcentral.
GAUGAACGCUGACAGAAUGCUUAACACAUGCAAGUCGAUGGGGAAGUGGUGCUUGCACCAUGGUAACCAUGGCGGACGGGUGAGUAACGCGUAAGGAACUUACCUGCGGGACCGGGAUAACAGCAGGAAACUGCUGACAAGACCGGAUAAGGUCAUUAAGCUGCAUAGCUUAGUGAUGAAAGGAGACGCCUGCGGAGAGCCUUGCGUCCUAUUAGCUAGUUGGGGGGGUAACGGCCCACCAAGGCGAAGUUAGGUAGCCGGCCUGAGGGGGUGGACGGCCACAAGGGGACUGAGAUACGGCCCUUACUCCUACGGGAGGCAGCAGUGGGGAAUAUUGGACAAUGGGGGCAACCCUGAUCCAGCAAUUCUGUGUGCACGAAGACGGUUUUCGGAUUGUAAAGUGCUUUCAGCAGGGAAGAAGGAAGUGACGGUACCUGCAGAAGAAGCGACGGCUAAAUACGUG